UACGUAGGGGGCAAGCGUUGUCCGGAAUCAUUGGGCGUAAAGAGCGUGUAGGCGGCUCGGUAAGUCCGCUGUGAAAGUCCAGGGCUCAACCCUGGAAUGCCGGUGGAAACUGUCGAGCUAGAGUCCGGAAGAGGCGAGUGGAAUUCCUGGUGUAGCGGUGAAAUGCGCAGAUAUCAGGAGGAACACCAAUGGCGAAGGCAGCUCGCUGGCCCGGAACUGACGCUGAGGUGCGAAAGCGUGGGGAGCAAACAGG
RNAcentral lists this ribosomal RNA (253 nucleotides) under uncultured bacterium. RNAcentral describes it as "partial 16S ribosomal RNA". It matches the Rfam family "Bacterial small subunit ribosomal RNA", at positions 524 to 776 of the family's 1533-position model. The record is from RNAcentral.